GAUGAACGCUGGCGGCGUGCCUAAUACAUGCAAGUCGAGCGAACAGACGAGGAGCUUGCGCCUCUGACGUUAGCGGAGGAGGGGUGAGUAACAUGUGGAUACCCUACCUAUAAGACUGGGAUAACUUCGGGAAACCGGAGAAAACACCGUAGAAUCUAUUGAAGCGCGUGGGGCGAUGGUGAGAGACGGCUGUGCUGUAGCUAAUAGCGGGAUCCGCGCCGCUUUAGCUGGUUGGUACGGUAAAGGGUUUCCACGGGGACGAGGCGUAGGCGAGCUGAGAGGCUGGUCGGCCGCACUGGAACUGAGACGCGGUCCAUGCUCCUGAGGUAGGCCGCAGUAGGGAAUGGUACGCAAUGGUCGGAAGCCUUGCGCAGCGGCGCCGCGUGAGUGAUGAAGGUCUUCGGUGCGUAAAACCCUGUUAUGAGGGAAGAACAAAUGUCGAAUGUACUAUACACUGCUUGACGGUACCUGGUCAGAAAGCCACGGCUAACUACGUG
This 497-nucleotide ribosomal RNA is filed under the name uncultured bacterium. RNAcentral's name for it is "partial 16S ribosomal RNA". It matches the Rfam family "Bacterial small subunit ribosomal RNA", at positions 28 to 507 of the family's 1533-position model. The record is from RNAcentral.